This 196-nucleotide small nuclear RNA is filed under the name Gossypium hirsutum (cotton). RNAcentral describes it as "U2 spliceosomal RNA". It matches the Rfam family "U2 spliceosomal RNA". From Rfam's summary of the family: U2 is a small nuclear RNA (snRNA) component of the spliceosome (involved in pre-mRNA splicing). Complementary binding between U2 snRNA (in an area lying towards the 5' end but 3' to hairpin I) and the branchpoint sequence (BPS) of the intron results the bulging out of an unpaired adenosine, on the BPS, which initiates a nucleophilic attack at the intronic 5' splice site, thus starting the first of two transesterification reactions that mediate splicing. The record is from Rfam by way of RNAcentral. Lineage: Eukaryota; Viridiplantae; Streptophyta; Magnoliopsida; Malvales; Malvaceae.
AUACCUUUCUCGGCCUUUUGGCUAAGAUCAAGUGUAGUAUCUGUUCUUAUCAGUUUAAUAUCUGAUACGUGGGCCACUGGCUCACAUGAUAUUAAAUUUAUUUUUGAAGGGAGAGAGUCCAUCGCAGUAGCUUGCUAUUGGGGCUUUCGGGCGUCGCUCAGGCGUUGCACUAUAGCUCGGGCCUGGCGCACUCCAC